AUUGAACGCUGGCGGCAGGCCUAACACAUGCAAGUCGAGCGAGCGGCGGACGGGUGAGUAAUGUAUGGGAAUCUGCCCGAUGGAGGGGGAUAACUACUGGAAACGGUGGCUAAUACCGCAUACUAUCAGAUGAACCCAUAUGGGAUUAGCUAGUAGGUGGGGUAAAGGCUCACCUAGGCGACGAUCCCUAGCUGGUCUGAGAGGAUGACCAGCCACACUGGGACUGAGACACGGCCCAGACGCCUACGGGAGGCAGCAGUGGGGAAUAUUGCACAAUGGGCGCAAGCCUGAUGCAGCCAUGCCGCGUGUAUGAAGAAGGCCUUCGGGUUGUAAAGUACUUUCAGCGGGGAGGCGUUACCCGCAGAAGAAGCACCGGCUAACUCCGUGCCAGCAGCCGCGGUAAUAC
RNAcentral lists this ribosomal RNA (406 nucleotides) under uncultured bacterium. RNAcentral's name for it is "partial 16S ribosomal RNA". It matches the Rfam family "Bacterial small subunit ribosomal RNA", at positions 30 to 526 of the family's 1533-position model. The record is from RNAcentral.